Molecule: ribosomal RNA, 400 nt
Filed under: uncultured Sphingobacteriales bacterium
Lineage: Bacteria; Pseudomonadati; Bacteroidota; Sphingobacteriia; Sphingobacteriales
Description: bacterial SSU rRNA
Rfam family: Bacterial small subunit ribosomal RNA
Source: RNAcentral
GAACGUAAGAUGACUGUAGGUGAAAGCUUACAUCUCUUCGGAGCAUUUUACGAGGUGCUGCAUGGUUGUCGUCAGCUCGUGCCGUGAGGUGUCGGGUUAAGUCCCAUAACGAGCGCAACCCCUACCUUAGUUGCCAUCAGGUUAAGCUGGGGACUCUAAAGGAACUGCCUACGCAAGUAGUGAGGAAGGCGGGGAUGACGUCAAAUCAGCACGGCCCUUACGUCCAGGGCUACACACGUGCUACAAUGGCCGAUACAGGGGGCAGCUACCUGGUGACAGGAUGCAAAUCUCCAAAGUCGGUCUCAGUUCGGAUCGGAGUCUGCAACCCGACUCCGUGAAGUUGGAUUCGCUAGUAAUCGCGCAUCAGCCAUGGCGCGGUGAAUACCCGUUCCCGGGCCUU